This 888-nucleotide ribosomal RNA is filed under the name Staphylococcus aureus. Its description in RNAcentral is "partial 23S ribosomal RNA". It matches the Rfam family "Bacterial large subunit ribosomal RNA", at positions 577 to 1470 of the family's 2925-position model. The record is from RNAcentral. Lineage: Bacteria; Bacillati; Bacillota; Bacilli; Caryophanales; Staphylococcaceae.
GAGCCCGUUAAUGGGUGAUGGCGUGCCUUUUGUAGAAUGAACCGGCGAGUUACGAUUUGAUGCAAGGUUAAGCAGUAAAUGUGGAGCCGUAGCGAAAGCGAGUCUGAAUAGGGCGUUUAGUAUUUGGUCGUAGACCCGAAACCAGGUGAUCUACCCUUGGUCAGGUUGAAGUUCAGGUAACACUGAAUGGAGGACCGAACCGACUUACGUUGAAAAGUGAGCGGAUGAACUGAGGGUAGCGGAGAAAUUCCAAUCGAACCUGGAGAUAGCUGGUUCUCUCCGAAAUAGCUUUAGGGCUAGCCUCAAGUGAUGAUUAUUGGAGGUAGAGCACUGUUUGGACGAGGGGCCCCUCUCGGGUUACCGAAUUCAGACAAACUCCGAAUGCCAAUUAAUUUAACUUGGGAGUCAGAACAUGGGUGAUAAGGUCCGUGUUCGAAAGGGAAACAGCCCAGACCACCAGCUAAGGUCCCAAAAUAUAUGUUAAGUGGAAAAGGAUGUGGCGUUGCCCAGACAACUAGGAUGUUGGCUUAGAAGCAGCCAUCAUUUAAAGAGUGCGUAAUAGCUCACUAGUCGAGUGACACUGCGCCGAAAAUGUACCGGGGCUAAACAUAUUACCGAAGCUGUGGAUUGUCCUUUGGACAAUGGUAGGAGAGCGUUCUAAGGGCGUUGAAGCAUGAUCGUAAGGACAUGUGGAGCGCUUAGAAGUGAGAAUGCCGGUGUGAGUAGCGAAAGACGGGUGAGAAUCCCGUCCACCGAUUGACUAAGGUUUCCAGAGGAAGGCUCGUCCGCUCUGGGUUAGUCGGGUCCUAAGCUGAGGCCGACAGGCGUAGGCGAUGGAUAACAGGUUGAUAUUCCUGUACCACCUAUAAUCGUUUUAAUCGAUGGGGG